CGCAACCCUCACCUUUAGUUGCUACCAGGUUAUGCUGGGCACUCUAGAGGAACCGCCGGUGAUAAGCCGGAGGAAGCGGGAUGACGUCAAGUCCUCAUGGCCCUUACGGGCUGGGCUACACACGUACUACAAUGGUGGUGACAGUGGGAUGCGAAAGCGCGAGCUGGAGCGAAUCCCCAAAGCCAUCUCAGUUCGGAUUGCACUCUGCAACUCGAGUGCAUGAAGUUGGAAUCGCUAGUAAUCGUGGAUCAGAAUGCCACGGUCGAAUACGUUCCCGGGCCUU
Molecule: ribosomal RNA, 283 nt
Filed under: uncultured Rhodospirillaceae bacterium
Lineage: Bacteria; Pseudomonadati; Pseudomonadota; Alphaproteobacteria; Rhodospirillales; Rhodospirillaceae
Description: partial 16S ribosomal RNA
Rfam family: Bacterial small subunit ribosomal RNA
Source: RNAcentral